AGCGAACGCUGGCGGAAUGCUUAACACAUGCAAGUCGCACGCUCUGCAAGGGGAGUGGCGGACGGGUGAGUAACGCGUAGGAAUAUGUCCAGAGGUGGGGGACAACCCUGGGAAACUGGGGCUAAUACCGCAUAUGGGCUGAGGCCCAAAGCAGUGAUGCGCCUUUGGAGUAGCCUGCGUCCGAUUAGCUUGUUGGUGGGGUAAAGGCUUACCAAGGCGACGAUCGGUAGCUGGUCUGAGAGGACGACCAGCCACACUGGGACUGAGACACGGCCCAGACUCCUACGGGAGGCAGCAGUGGGGAAUAUUGGACAAUGGGCGCGAGCCCGAUCCAGCAAUUCCGCGUGGGUGAAGAAGGUCUUCGGAUUGUAAAGCCCUUUCGACGGGGACGAUGAUGACGGUACCCGUAGAAGAAGCCCCGGCUAACUUCGUGCCAGCCGCCGCGGUAA
This 449-nucleotide ribosomal RNA is filed under the name uncultured bacterium. Its description in RNAcentral is "partial 16S ribosomal RNA". It matches the Rfam family "Bacterial small subunit ribosomal RNA", at positions 29 to 523 of the family's 1533-position model. The record is from RNAcentral.